This 43-nucleotide ribosomal RNA is filed under the name Lactifluus crocatus. RNAcentral describes it as "partial 28S ribosomal RNA". The record is from RNAcentral. Lineage: Eukaryota; Fungi; Basidiomycota; Agaricomycetes; Russulales; Russulaceae.
UUGACCUCAAAUCGGUGAGACUACCCGCUGAACUUAAGCAUAU